UACGAAGGGGGCUAGCGUUGCUCGGAAUCACUGGGCGUAAAGGGUGCGUAGGCGGGUCUUUAAGUCAGGGGUGAAAUCCUGGAGCUCAACUCCAGAACUGCCUUUGAUACUGAGGAUCUUGAGUUCGGGAGAGGUGAGUGGAACUGCGAGUGUAGAGGUGAAAUUCGUAGAUAUUCGCAAGAACACCAGUGGCGAAGGCGGCUCACUGGCCCGGUACUGACACUGAGGUGCGAAAGCGUGGGGAGCAAACAGG
RNAcentral lists this ribosomal RNA (253 nucleotides) under uncultured bacterium. Its description in RNAcentral is "partial 16S ribosomal RNA". It matches the Rfam family "Bacterial small subunit ribosomal RNA", at positions 524 to 776 of the family's 1533-position model. The record is from RNAcentral.